UCGUUCCCCGAGCCUGCGAUCCUCGGAAGGAACGCGAGGCUCUGGGAUAAUCCGUUUCAGGGAGGAAUCUGAUUGGCCGAUGAAAUGGAAUGCGUAGUUCAAUCUUAGCAAGGAUUCCUGGCUUCCGGCAACGGAUUAUCCCAGAGCCUCGCGUUCCUUCCCGAGGAUCGCAGGCUCGGGGAACGAGAUUGAAAAGCUCAUAAUUCAAAACUUUGUAAGCUUUCUAUUGCUGCAAGUUAUUUUUUUCUAUAAAUGAACCUG
Molecule: non-coding RNA, 261 nt
Organism: Paramuricea clavata
Lineage: Eukaryota; Metazoa; Cnidaria; Anthozoa; Malacalcyonacea; Plexauridae
Source: the annotation of a GenBank genome assembly